CCUACGGGAGGCAGCAGUGAGGAAUAUUGGUCAAUGGGCGCAAGCCUGAACCAGCCAAGUCGCGUGAGGGAUGACGGUCCUAUGGAUUGUAAACCUCUUUUGUCGGGGAGCAAGGCCCGCCACGUGUGGCGGGCAGGCGAGUACCCGCAGAAAAAGCAUCGGCUAACUCCGUGCCAGCAGCCGCGGUAAUACGGAGGAUGCGAGCGUUAUCCGGCGUUAUUGGGUUUAAAGGGUGCGUAGGCGGAAGGUUAAGUCAGCGGUCAAAUGUCGGUGCUCAACACCGGCCUGCCGUUGAAACUGGUCUUCUUGAGUGAGCGAGAAGUAGGCGGAAUGCGUGGUGUAGCGGUGAAAUGCAUAGAGAUCACGCAGAACUCCGAUUGCGAAGGCAGCAUACCGGAGCUCAACUGACGCUGAGGCACGAAAGCGCGGGUAUCGAACAGGAUUAGAUACCCGGGUAGUC
This 460-nucleotide ribosomal RNA is filed under the name uncultured bacterium. Its description in RNAcentral is "partial 16S ribosomal RNA". It matches the Rfam family "Bacterial small subunit ribosomal RNA", at positions 338 to 795 of the family's 1533-position model. The record is from RNAcentral.